GUUCAGAACGUCGUGAGACAGUUCGGUCCCUAUCUGUUGCGGGCGUAAGAGAUUUGAAGGGAGCUGUCCUUAGUACGAGAGGACCGGGAUGGACAGACCGCUGGUGCACCAGUUGUCCUGCCAAGGGCAUGGCUGGGUAGCUACGUCUGGACGAGAUAAACGCUGAAAGCAUCUAAGCGUGAAACUCACCCUAAGAUGAGAUCUCUCAUCCUUCAUGGAGUAAGGCUCGAUGUAGACUACAUCGUUGAUAGGCCGGAGGUGGAAGCGCUGUAAGGCGUGCAGCUGACCGGUACUAAUCAGCCGAGGGCUUGACCUC
RNAcentral lists this ribosomal RNA (316 nucleotides) under Oscillospiraceae bacterium. Its description in RNAcentral is "partial 23S ribosomal RNA". It matches the Rfam family "Bacterial large subunit ribosomal RNA", at positions 2609 to 2925 of the family's 2925-position model. Lineage: Bacteria; Bacillati; Bacillota; Clostridia; Eubacteriales; Oscillospiraceae. The record is from RNAcentral.